Molecule: ribosomal RNA, 447 nt
Filed under: uncultured bacterium
Lineage: Bacteria
Description: bacterial SSU rRNA
Rfam family: Bacterial small subunit ribosomal RNA
Source: RNAcentral
UGGGGAAUAUUGGACAAUGGGCGCAAGCCUGAUCCAGCCAUGCCGCGUGAGUGACGAAGGUCUUCGGAUUGUAAAGCUCUUUUGGCGGGGACGAUAAUGACGGUACCCGCAGAAUAAGCCCCGGCUAACUUCGUGCCAGCAGCCGCGGUAAUACGAAGGGGGCUAGCGUUGUUCGGAAUCACUGGGCGUAAAGCGCACGUAGGCGGAUUUGUUAGUCAGGGGUGAAAUCCCGGGGCUCAACCUCGGAACUGCCUCUGAUACUGCAAAUCUCGAGUCCGAUAGAGGUGAGUGGAAUUCCUAGUGUAGAGGUGAAAUUCGUAGAUAUUAGGAAGAACACCAGUGGCGAAGGCGGCUCACUGGAUCGGUACUGACGCUGAGGUGCGAAAGCGUGGGGAGCAAACAGGAUUAGAUACCCCCGUAGUCCCUGAGCGGGCUGGCAAGGCGCAU